This is a long non-coding RNA of Larimichthys crocea (large yellow croaker), 146 nucleotides long. RefSeq lists it as uncharacterized. NCBI's taxonomy places the organism in Eukaryota, Metazoa, Chordata, Actinopteri, Sciaenidae. The record is from RefSeq and is a predicted model, not a curated record. The transcript is spliced from 2 exons.
AGAAUCUACAAGAAGAGCGUCCUCAUCCAACUGAAUUAUCAGAGAAUUACAGGAGUCAAAAUGAAAGUGAUCUUCCAGUCCUUCCUUUACUGCUGUCUACUGGCGACAGUAGCACACUGUGUGGAACUUGAAGUUAAUCCGGAGUU